AUUGAACGCUGGCGGCAUGCCUUACACAUGCAAGUCGAACGGUAACAGGUCUUCGGAUGCUGACGAGUGGCGAACGGGUGAGUAAUACAUCGGAACGUGCCCGAUCGUGGGGGAUAACGAGGCGAAAGCUUUGCUAAUACCGCAUACGAUCUACGGAUGAAAGCGGGGGAUCUUCGGACCUCGCGCGGACGGAGCGGCCGAUGGCAGAUUAGGUAGUUGGUGGGAUAAAAGCUUACCAAGCCGACGAUCUGUAGCUGGUCUGAGAGGAUGAUCAGCCACACUGGGAGUGAGACACGGCCCAGACUCCUACGGGAGGCAGCAGUGGGGAAUUUUGGACAAUGGGCGAAAGCCUGAUCCAGCCAUGCCGCGUGCAGGAUGAAGGCCUUCGGGUUGUAAACUGCUUUUGUACGGAACGAAAAGCCUCUUUCUAAUAAAGAGGGGUCAUGACGGUACCGUAAGAAUAAGCACCGGCUAACUACGUG
Molecule: ribosomal RNA, 482 nt
Filed under: uncultured bacterium
Lineage: Bacteria
Description: partial 16S ribosomal RNA
Rfam family: Bacterial small subunit ribosomal RNA
Source: RNAcentral